GAUGAACGCUGGCGGCGUGCCUAAUACAUGCAAGUCGAGCGAACGGACGAGAAGCUUGCUUCUCUGAUGUUAGCGGCGGACGGGUGAGUAACACGUGGAUAACCUACCUAUAAGACUGGGAUAACUUCGGGAAACCGGAGCUAAUACCGGAUAAUAUUUUGAACCGCAUGGUUCAAAAGUGAAAGACGGUCUUGCUGUCACUUAUAGAUGGAUCCGCGCUGCAUUAGCUAGUUGGUAAGGUAACGGCUUACCAAGGCAACGAUGCAUAGCCGACCUGAGAGGGUGGUCGGCCACACUGGAAGUGAGACACGGUCCAGACUCCUACGGGAGGCAGCAGUAGGGAAUCUUCCGCAAUGGGCGAAAGCCUGACGGAGCAACGCCGCGUGAGUGAUGAAGGUCUUCGGAUCGUAAAACUCUGUUAGUAGGGAAGAACAUAUGUGUAAGUAGCUGUGCACAUCUUGACGGUACCUAAUCAGAAAGCCACGGCUAACUACGUG
RNAcentral lists this ribosomal RNA (497 nucleotides) under uncultured bacterium. RNAcentral describes it as "partial 16S ribosomal RNA". It matches the Rfam family "Bacterial small subunit ribosomal RNA", at positions 28 to 507 of the family's 1533-position model. The record is from RNAcentral.